Molecule: ribosomal RNA, 601 nt
Filed under: Nicotiana attenuata
Lineage: Eukaryota; Viridiplantae; Streptophyta; Magnoliopsida; Solanales; Solanaceae
Description: rRNA LSU_rRNA_eukarya
Rfam family: Eukaryotic large subunit ribosomal RNA
Source: RNAcentral
CUGACAUGUGUGCAAGUCAACGGGCGAGUAAACCCGUAAGGCAUAAGGAAGCUGAUUGGUGGGAUCCCCCUGAGGGGUGCACCUCCGACCGACCUUGAUCUUCUGUGAAGGGUUCGAGUGUGAGCAUACCUGUCGGGACCCGAAAGAUGGUGAACUAUGCCUGAGCGGGGCGAAGCCAGAGGAAAUUCUUGUGGAGGCCCGCAGCGAUACUGACGUGCAAAUCGUUCAUCUGACUUGGGUAUAGGGGCGAAAGACUAAUCGAACCGUCUAGUAGCUGGUUCCCUUCGAAGUUUCCCUCAGGAUAGCUGGAGCUCGCGUGCGAGUUUUAUCGGGUAAAGCCAAUUAUUAGAGGCAUCGGGGGCGCAACGACCUCGACCUAUUCUCAAACAUUAAAUAGGUAGGACGUCGCGGAUGCUUUGUUGAGCCGCGCCACGGAAUCAAAAGNGUCUCGUUGCUGAGAAUUUACUUAGGCAGGCUAAGGUAUGAUACAUGAGCGCUGAGAACCAUGAAGCGAGUGGCACCUCGUGGAUUGGGCCUAUUCGAUCAGGUUGGGAUCGAGCCGUGCCGAUCACAUAGUGACUAAGAUAGAAAUAAGUCAGGA